GCAAGGCUGAAUCUCAAAGGAAUUGCCGGGGGGUCUAACACUAGUGGUGGGGGCAUGUGGUUUAAUGCGAUAAUCCGCGCAGAACCUUACCAAUUCUUGACAUAAUUUUUAAGUGAUAAUGUCUUUAGCUAAUAGUUAAAAAUUAUCCUUUAUAUUACAGGUGUUCGCACGACUGUCGUCAGCUCGUGUCGUGAGAUGUUUGGUUAAGUCCUGAGGCGGGCGCAACUCUUACUUUUACAAAGUUUAGCAAACAAAUAAUUUUUGAUAAAAGUUAUUUUUGUUUUAGGGUACGGUCAAUGAUAAAUUGAAGGAAGGUAAGAAUGAAGUCAAGUCAAUGUGACCCUAAUGAAUUGGGCUACACAUGUGCUACAAUGAAAACUACAAAAGGUGACAAAAAAGAUAAUUUUUGGUUAGUCCAAAAAAGUUUUCCAAGUUCGGAUUGUAAACUGCAACUCGUUUACAUGAAGCUGGAAUCACUAGUAAUCGCGAAUCAGCACGUUGCGGUGAACACGUAAAUUGACC
This 522-nucleotide ribosomal RNA is filed under the name uncultured phototrophic eukaryote. Its description in RNAcentral is "partial 16S ribosomal RNA". It matches the Rfam family "Bacterial small subunit ribosomal RNA", at positions 888 to 1380 of the family's 1533-position model. The record is from RNAcentral.